This 375-nucleotide ribosomal RNA is filed under the name uncultured bacterium. RNAcentral describes it as "bacterial SSU rRNA". It matches the Rfam family "Bacterial small subunit ribosomal RNA", at positions 355 to 741 of the family's 1533-position model. The record is from RNAcentral.
UGGGGAAUAUUGCACAAUGGGCGAAAGCCUGAUGCAGCGACGCCGCGUGAGGGAUGACGGCCUUCGGGUUGUAAACCUCUUUCAGCAGGGAAGAAGCGAAAGUGACGGUACCUGCAGAAGAAGCGCCGGCUAACUACGUGCCAGCAGCCGCGGUAAUACGUAGGGCGCAAGCGUUGUCCGGAAUUAUUGGGCGUAAAGAGCUCGUAGGCGGCUUGUCACGUCGGUUGUGAAAGCCCGGGGCUUAACCCCGGGUCUGCAGUCGAUACGGGCAGGCUAGAGUUCGGUAGGGGAGAUCGGAAUUCCUGGUGUAGCGGUGAAAUGCGCAGAUAUCAGGAGGAACACCCGGUGGCGAAGGCGGAUCUCUGGGCCGAUACC